This 1492-nucleotide ribosomal RNA is filed under the name Lacticaseibacillus paracasei. RNAcentral describes it as "bacterial SSU rRNA". It matches the Rfam family "Bacterial small subunit ribosomal RNA". The record is from RNAcentral. Lineage: Bacteria; Bacillati; Bacillota; Bacilli; Lactobacillales; Lactobacillaceae.
GAUGAACGCUGGCGGCGUGCCUAAUACAUGCAAGUCGAACGAGUUCUCGUUGAUGAUCGGUGCUUGCACCGAGAUUCAACAUGGAACGAGUGGCGGACGGGUGAGUAACACGUGGGUAACCUGCCCUUAAGUGGGGGAUAACAUUUGGAAACAGAUGCUAAUACCGCAUAGAUCCAAGAACCGCAUGGUUCUUGGCUGAAAGAUGGCGUAAGCUAUCGCUUUUGGAUGGACCCGCGGCGUAUUAGCUAGUUGGUGAGGUAAUGGCUCACCAAGGCGAUGAUACGUAGCCGAACUGAGAGGUUGAUCGGCCACAUUGGGACUGAGACACGGCCCAAACUCCUACGGGAGGCAGCAGUAGGGAAUCUUCCACAAUGGACGCAAGUCUGAUGGAGCAACGCCGCGUGAGUGAAGAAGGCUUUCGGGUCGUAAAACUCUGUUGUUGGAGAAGAAUGGUCGGCAGAGUAACUGUUGUCGGCGUGACGGUAUCCAACCAGAAAGCCACGGCUAACUACGUGCCAGCAGCCGCGGUAAUACGUAGGUGGCAAGCGUUAUCCGGAUUUAUUGGGCGUAAAGCGAGCGCAGGCGGUUUUUUAAGUCUGAUGUGAAAGCCCUCGGCUUAACCGAGGAAGCGCAUCGGAAACUGGGAAACUUGAGUGCAGAAGAGGACAGUGGAACUCCAUGUGUAGCGGUGAAAUGCGUAGAUAUAUGGAAGAACACCAGUGGCGAAGGCGGCUGUCUGGUCUGUAACUGACGCUGAGGCUCGAAAGCAUGGGUAGCGAACAGGAUUAGAUACCCUGGUAGUCCAUGCCGUAAACGAUGAAUGCUAGGUGUUGGAGGGUUUCCGCCCUUCAGUGCCGCAGCUAACGCAUUAAGCAUUCCGCCUGGGGAGUACGACCGCAAGGUUGAAACUCAAAGGAAUUGACGGGGGCCCGCACAAGCGGUGGAGCAUGUGGUUUAAUUCGAAGCAACGCGAAGAACCUUACCAGGUCUUGACAUCUUUUGAUCACCUGAGAGAUCAGGUUUCCCCUUCGGGGGCAAAAUGACAGGUGGUGCAUGGUUGUCGUCAGCUCGUGUCGUGAGAUGUUGGGUUAAGUCCCGCAACGAGCGCAACCCUUAUGACUAGUUGCCAGCAUUUAGUUGGGCACUCUAGUAAGACUGCCGGUGACAAACCGGAGGAAGGUGGGGAUGACGUCAAAUCAUCAUGCCCCUUAUGACCUGGGCUACACACGUGCUACAAUGGAUGGUACAACGAGUUGCGAGACCGCGAGGUCAAGCUAAUCUCUUAAAGCCAUUCUCAGUUCGGACUGUAGGCUGCAACUCGCCUACACGAAGUCGGAAUCGCUAGUAAUCGCGGAUCAGCACGCCGCGGUGAAUACGUUCCCGGGCCUCAUACACACCGCCCGUCACACCAUGAGAGUUUGUAACACCCGAAGCCGGUGGCGUAACCCUUUUAGGGAGCGAGCCGUCUAAGGUGGGACAAAUGAUUAGGGUG